Molecule: long non-coding RNA, 207 nt
Filed under: Prunus persica (peach)
Lineage: Eukaryota; Viridiplantae; Streptophyta; Magnoliopsida; Rosales; Rosaceae
Description: long non-coding RNA (PPER_LNC003091)
Source: RNAcentral
GGGAGGCAAUCAUGAGCCCUGAGGGCUUGGAAUGAAGCAUACAAAAUGAUGCAGCCAAAACCAAACCCAACUAGGCCCCAAAAAAGGGAAAUUCCAUGUUAUUGAGGUUCUUUGAGUUAAUCUAAUUUCAAUAGAAACUUGGGCAAACUGUUGUAUUGAUUCUCAAAACAUUCCUUUAUGUUAGUUUCUGGUGCAUUUAUCAUUCUC